Molecule: long non-coding RNA, 588 nt
Organism: Triticum aestivum (bread wheat)
Lineage: Eukaryota; Viridiplantae; Streptophyta; Magnoliopsida; Poales; Poaceae
Exons: 3
Source: RefSeq, a predicted model, not a curated record
UGGGUUAAUAUGACUUGGUCCUGCCUUGUUUGAAUUCAUUGUUGUUUAUGUUGAGCCUUGCUGAGGAUUGUUUAGUUCACUAUUGUUUCUGUUUAGCCCUGUUCAGGAUUGUAUAGCUCAUAUCAUUGAUUUGGGGUUGGUAUGGCUUGGUCCUGCCUUGCUUUUAUGUCAUUGUCGUUUGUGUUCGGCCUAUUGAAGGUUGUGUGGCUCGUCUCACUGAUUGGGAAGAGUGUUUGGUAUGGGUUCGGUGGAUUGUGUUUCCAGGUUGUUUCAUUCUAGAGGUUAUUUCUUCGAGCCGGCCGUGUUGAUAGGCCCUGUAACAUGGUGGUGUUGUUGGUUGCUUCGCACGGCAUGUUUAUCCUGCGUUCUUCGUGUGUGCCUCUGUUUGAGGCUGUUGCGAGCUACUGUCGACUGCCGUUCCAUUCAUAUGUUCGAGAGGUGGCAUCUGAUGGUUCUCUACUUGGAGGGGUUGAGAUCGAUGUUCUUGUUAGGGAAGAUGUAGUACGGUGCCAAACACAUUUUUUCUGGGGCAGUUCGUUUGACGGCUGCUCCUCUUUAUACGAUCAGGCUGCUUAUCAGGCGGUCCAG